CAGUCGCCACGGUAAUACGUAGGGUGCAAGCGUUAAUCGGAAUUACUGGGCGUAAAGCGUGCGCAGGCGGUUAUAUAAGACAGAUGUGAAAUCCCCGGGCUCAACCUGGGAACUGCAUUUGUGACUGUAUAGCUAGAGUACGGCAGAGGGGGAUGGAAUUCCGCGUGUAGCAGUGAAAUGCGUAGAUAUGCGGAGGAACACCGAUGGCGAAGGCAAUCCCCUGGGCCUGUACUGACGCUCAUGCACGAAAGCGUGGGGAGCAAACAGGAUUAGAUACCCCAGUAGUCCCUGUCUCUUAUAA
RNAcentral lists this ribosomal RNA (301 nucleotides) under uncultured bacterium. RNAcentral describes it as "partial 16S ribosomal RNA". It matches the Rfam family "Bacterial small subunit ribosomal RNA", at positions 509 to 809 of the family's 1533-position model. The record is from RNAcentral.